Molecule: ribosomal RNA, 478 nt
Filed under: uncultured bacterium
Lineage: Bacteria
Description: bacterial SSU rRNA
Rfam family: Bacterial small subunit ribosomal RNA
Source: RNAcentral
GACGAACGCUGGCGGCGUGCCUAACACAUGCAAGUCGAACGAGGUCCAUCCUUCGGGAGAAGACCUAGUGGCGAACGGGUGAGUAACACGUGAAGAACCUGCCCCGAAGACCGGGAUAACCCUCCGAAAGGAGAGCUAAUACCGGAUACCCCCACCGAACCGCAUGGUUUGGUGAGGAAAUGGAUUCCGCUUCGGGAGGGCUUCGCGGCCUAUCAGCUAGUUGGUGGGGUAACGGCCACCAAGGCAUCGACGGGUAGCUGGUCUGAGAGGACGAUCAGCCACACUGGGACUGAGACACGGCCCAGACUCCUACGGGAGGCAGCAGUGGGGAAUCUUGCGCAAUGGGCGAAAGCCUGACGCAGCAACGCCGCGUGGGGGAUGAAGGCUCUCGGGUUGGUAAACCCCUUUCAGCAGGGACGAAUCAAGACGGUACCUGCAGAAGAAGCCCGGCUAACUACGUGCCAGCAGCCGCGGUAAU